UGGGGAAUAUUGCACAAUGGGCGCAAGCCUGAUGCAGCGACGCCGCGUGGGGGAUGACGGCCUUCGGGUUGUAAACUCCUUUCGCCAGGGACGAAGCGUUUUGUGACGGUACCUGGAGAAGAAGCACCGGCUAACUACGUGCCAGCAGCCGCGGUAAUACGUAGGGUGCAAGCGUUGUCCGGAAUUACUGGGCGUAAAGAGCUCGUAGGUGGUUUGUCACGUCGUCUGUGAAAUUCCACAGCUUAACUGUGGGCGUGCAGGCGAUACGGGCUGACUUGAGUACUGUAGGGGUAACUGGAAUUCCUGGUGUAGCGGUGAAAUGCGCAGAUAUCAGGAGGAACACCGAUGGCGAAGGCAGGUUACUGGGCAGUUACUGACGCUGAGGAGCGAAAGCAUGGGUAGCAAACAGGAUUAGAUACCCUGGUAGUCCAUGCCGUAAACGGUGGGCGCUAGGUGUAGGGGCCUUUUGGGGUUUCUGUGCCGUAGCUAACGCAUUAAGCGCCCCGCCUGGGGAGUACGGCCGCAAGGCUA
RNAcentral lists this ribosomal RNA (531 nucleotides) under uncultured bacterium. RNAcentral describes it as "bacterial SSU rRNA". It matches the Rfam family "Bacterial small subunit ribosomal RNA", at positions 355 to 896 of the family's 1533-position model. The record is from RNAcentral.